GCACGGGUGAGUAACACGUGACUAACCUACCCUGGAGUGGGGGAUAACUGAGGGAAACCUUAGCUAAUACCGCAUAAUACCUACGGGUCAAGGAGCAAUUCGCUUUGGGAGGGGGUCGCGGCCGAUUAGUUAGUUGGCGGGGUAAUGGCCCACCAAGACAGUGAUCGGUAUCCGGCCUGAGAGGGCGCACGGACACACUGGAACUGAAACACGGUCCAGACUCCUACGGGAGGCAGCAGUGGGGAAUUUUGCACAAUGGGGGCAACCCUGAUGCAGCGACGCCGCGUGAACGAUGAAGCCCUUCGGGGUGUAAAGUUCUUUCGGCAGGGAAGAAACAUGACGGUACCUGCAGAAGCAGCUGCGGCUAACUACGUGCCAGCAGCCGCGGUAAUACGUAGGCAGCGAGCGUUGUUCGGAGUUACUGGGCGUAAAGGGUGUGUAGGCGGUCCUCUAAGUUUGGUGUGAAAUCUCCCGGCUUAACCGGGAGGGUGCGCCGAAAACUGGGGGACUAAGUGCGGGAGGGGAGAGUGGAAUCCCGGUGUAGCGGUGAAAUGCGUAGAUUCGGAAGGAACACCUGUG
RNAcentral lists this ribosomal RNA (579 nucleotides) under uncultured bacterium. RNAcentral's name for it is "bacterial SSU rRNA". It matches the Rfam family "Bacterial small subunit ribosomal RNA", at positions 100 to 714 of the family's 1533-position model. The record is from RNAcentral.